CGCUCCUUGAGGUUCCCUAUUCGGGAAACAAAAUUGUCUUACAUAAGGAGUCGGACCUGCCCGGUGACAGAAUAUGUUAAACGGCCGCGGUACUCUGACCGUGCAAAGGUAGCAUAAUCAUUUGCCUUUUAAUUGAAGGCUUGUAUGAAUGGUUUGACGAAAAUCAAGCUGUCUCUUUUUAAAUAUCAAAAAAUUAUUAUUUAGGUGAAGAAACCUAAAUUUGAUUGAGGGACAAGAAGACCCCGUUGAGCUUUAGUGACUUAGUAAAAAUUAUUUCCCUAAAUAACAUAAAUUAAAAUGCUAUUUAACCAUUACAUUUUUUGCAAAUACCAUUUACUAAAAAUCUUUAGUUGGGGCGACUGAGGAACAUAAAAAGCUUCCUCUAACUAUAAGCUAAUAUUAAGCAGAUUAACAUAAAUAUAGAUCCAGUAUUUACUGAUCAAAGGAAAAAGUUACCACGGGGAUAACAGCGUAAUCUUUCUAAAGAGUUCUUAUCGAAAGAAGGGUUUGCGACCUCGAUGUUGGACUAAGAUAUCCUAAAGGUGCAGAAGCUUUUAACGGUUAGUCUGUUCGACUAUUAAAAUCUU
This 587-nucleotide ribosomal RNA is filed under the name Lunella torquata. Its description in RNAcentral is "partial 16S ribosomal RNA". It matches the Rfam family "Bacterial large subunit ribosomal RNA", at positions 1816 to 2597 of the family's 2925-position model. The record is from RNAcentral. Lineage: Eukaryota; Metazoa; Mollusca; Gastropoda; Trochida; Turbinidae.